CAGCUCUCUGCUAUGGCCUGGGAAAGCAGUAGAAGAUGGCCCAAGUCCUUGGGCCCCUGCACCCGCGUGGGAGACCAGGAAGAAGCUCCUGGCUCCUGGCUUCAGAUCGGCGCAGCUCUGGCUGUUGCGGCCAUUUGCUGAGGAUUACUCCGUGCCAUAUAUACACCACACUUUCUUUAUCCAGUCAUCAGUUGAUGGACAUCUGGUUUGAUUCCAUAUGUUAGCUGUUGUGAAUUGAGCUGCAAUAAACAUGGGGAUACAGAUAA
This is a non-coding RNA of Oryctolagus cuniculus (rabbit), 266 nucleotides long. The record is from RefSeq and is a predicted model, not a curated record. Lineage: Eukaryota; Metazoa; Chordata; Mammalia; Lagomorpha; Leporidae.